Molecule: ribosomal RNA, 389 nt
Filed under: uncultured bacterium
Lineage: Bacteria
Description: bacterial SSU rRNA
Rfam family: Bacterial small subunit ribosomal RNA
Source: RNAcentral
GACGAACGCUGGCGGCGUGCUUAACACAUGCAAGUCGAGCGGUAAGGCCCUUUCGGGGGUACACGAGCGGCGAACGGGUGAGUAACACGUGGGUGACCUGCCCUCAGCUCUGGGAUAAGCCUGGGAAACUGGGUCUAAUACUGGAUAUGACUCCACGGUGCAUGUCGUGGGGUGGAAAGCCUUGUGCGGCUGAGGAUGGGCCCGCGGCCUAUCAGCUUGUUGGUGGGGUGAUGGCCUACCAAGGCGACGACGGGUAGCCGGCCUGAGAGGGCGACCGGCCACACUGGGACUGAGACACGGCCCAGACUCCUACGGGAGGCAGCAGUGGGGGAAUCUUGCGCAAUGGGCGAAAGCCUGACGCAGCGACGCCGCGUGAGGGAUGACGGCCU